This is an RNA transcript of Rosa rugosa (rugosa rose), 823 nucleotides long. It is a transcript of the gene named cysteine proteinase inhibitor A-like, with no coding region annotated. The transcript has 5 exons. Lineage: Eukaryota; Viridiplantae; Streptophyta; Magnoliopsida; Rosales; Rosaceae. The record is from RefSeq and is a predicted model, not a curated record.
CCCAAACGGGCCUUCGUCAACUCGCUCUUUUUCUCUUUUCUCUCACCGGAAAUGGCCGCCGUCGUCGGAGGAAUCCACGAAUCCCAAGGUUCCGAGAACAGCCUCGAAGCCGACGACCUCGCUCGCUUCGCCGUCCAAGAGCACAACACCAAGGAGAAUGCUGUGCUUGAGUUUGUGAGGGUUGUGAAGACCAAGCAACAAGUGGUUUCUGGCACUGUGUACUAUCUCACCAUUGAGGCCACCGAUGGGGGUCAGAAGAAGCUUUUUGAGGCCAAGGUCUGGGUUAAGCCUUGGCUCAACUUCAAGCAAGUCCAGGAAUUCAAACCCGUUGCUGAAGUCUAGUUUGUUUUUCAGAUGAUAGAAGGUCUUGCAAUGUUUAAGAUGCUUCUAAAGGUCAGGGGAGCAAAGAAGAGAAACCAAAUUUGAACUGCAUAAGAAUAAUGAAGGUGGGCAUGCUCCAGGAUGGCAAGAUGUGCAGCCUCAUGAUCCUCAAGUUCAAGAUGCAGCCAACCAUACUGUGAAUAGCCUUCAGCAAAAGUCCAAUUUAUUGUUCCCAUAUGAGCUUCAAGAGAUUGUCCAUGCUAAGGCAGAGGUGAUAGAAGAUCAUGCCAAGUUUAACAUGCUUCUUAAGCUGAAGAGGGGUGACAAAGAAGAGAAAUAUAAAGUUUAAGUGCACAAGAACAAUGAAGGUGCCUACAAUCUGAAUCAGAUGGAGGCACAGCACUCUUAAAUAUAAUAAUUCGAGAGCUUUGUAGCAUCCCAAUCUUAUAAGAACUGGGUGUAUAAUAGAUGCUUUGCUUUCGUUGCUAUUAGUCUUUCUUUU